Molecule: long non-coding RNA, 726 nt
Organism: Schistocerca cancellata (South American locust)
Lineage: Eukaryota; Metazoa; Arthropoda; Insecta; Orthoptera; Acrididae
Exons: 2
Source: RefSeq, a predicted model, not a curated record
CAUCAGAGACGUAACUUUGUACAGGGAAAUGUCAAGUGGGUGUGUCCAAGCUGCUGCGAAGUAACAGGACGUAGUAUUUGCAAACGAACAGGAGAAAACGAAAAUAAUAAUAUACCCACUGAGGAUGCUACAACUGAGGUGAACCAUGUUUGGGUGAUGAAGUAAAACAAUAAUUUGUGUGCUUACAAAAAGGUGGACUCAUCCUUAAUUCAUUAACAUUUUUCUGCAAAACACUGGAACUGAGUCCAAACUCAAAUAGGCCAAUGAUGUAAAUAGACUGUUGUAUUAUAGAAACUGAAACUCUCAGGAAUACCUGCAAUACUACCUUUACGACAUACUUCUCCAGUUGGCCAACUCUUAUUAAAGUUGCUGGGCAUAUAACUGAUGAACUGCAAGAGGAAAUUACCAACACAUGAAGACUUCAAAGGAUGGUCUAUGGACAAGUAUUCCACAGGGGAUACUCAGGAUCCACUAUUUUAUGUCUAUUAAUAAUCUUGUGUUACAUAUAUAUUUAUUGUAAAUGGUGUCGAAAUAGCGGUAAGAAAAUGUGUCGAGUAGCAAGUAUAGACUGUUGGGUCAGGAGAACUAAGAAAACUGAAUCCCUUUCUCCAAAACCAGAUUUCACACAAUUAUGCCCAAAGUGAUACAAUGUAGUGGUAAAAUAUUGACAUAUUUUGUGAAAAUAUGUAUAACACUGUUGAAAAUAAAGAAUGAUAGCAGUCAUAA